Molecule: ribosomal RNA, 251 nt
Filed under: uncultured bacterium
Lineage: Bacteria
Description: partial 16S ribosomal RNA
Rfam family: Bacterial small subunit ribosomal RNA
Source: RNAcentral
UACAGAGGGUGCUAGCGUUGUUCGGAAUUAUUGGGCGUAAAGGGCGCGUAGGCGGCCCUGUGUGUCGGGUGUGAAAGCCCACCUCUUAAAGGUGGAAUUGCAUUCGAAACUACAGGGCUGGAGUGUCGGAGAGGAUGGCGGAAUUCCUGGUGUAGAGGUGAAAUUCGUAGAUAUCAGGAAGAACACCCGUGGCGAAGGCGGCUCUCUGCCUGUAACUGACGCUGAGGCGCGAAAGCGUGGGGAGCAAACAG